CCUACGGGGGGCUGCAGUGGGGAAUAUUGGGCAAUGGGCGCAAGCCUGACCCAGCAACGCCGCGUGAGGGAAGAAGGCUUUCGGGUUGUAAACUUCUUUUCUGAGGGACGAAGAAAGUGACGGUACCUCAGGAAUAAGCCACUGCUAACUACGUGCCAGCAGCCGCGGUAAUACGUAGGUGGCACGCGUUAUCCGGAUUUAUUUGGUGUAAAGGGCGUGUAGGCGGUGAAGCAAGCCAGAUGUGAAACCUCAGGGCUCAACCCUGGGCCUGCAUUUGAAACUGUUCUUCUUGAGUGCUGGAGAGGCAAUCGGAAUUCCGUGUGUAGCGGUGAAAUGCGUAGAUAUAAGGAGGAACACCAGUGGCGAAGGCGGACUGCUGGACAGUAACUGACGCUGAGGCGCGAAAGCGUGGGGAGCAAACAGGAUUAGAUACCCUUGUAGUC
This 443-nucleotide ribosomal RNA is filed under the name uncultured bacterium. RNAcentral describes it as "partial 16S ribosomal RNA". It matches the Rfam family "Bacterial small subunit ribosomal RNA", at positions 338 to 795 of the family's 1533-position model. The record is from RNAcentral.